GCUUGUCUCAAAGAUUAAGCCAUGCAUGUCUAAGUAUAAACUAAUUUAUACGGUGAAACUGCGAAUGGCUCAUUAAAUCAGUUAUAGUUUAUUUGAUGGUUGAUUACUACGUGGAUAACCGUGGUAAUUCUAGAGCUAAUACAUGCCUACAAGCCCGACUUCUGGAAGGGGUGUAUUUAUUAGAUGGAAACCAAUGCGGGGCAACCCGGAUUCUGGUGAUUCAUAAUAACUUUCGGAUCGAUCUUCGGAUCGAUGCAUCAUUCAAGUUUCUGCCCUAUCAGCUUUGGAUGGUAGGGUAUUGGCCUACCAUGGCUUUAACGGGUAACGGAGAAUUAGGGUUCGAUUCCGGAGAGGGAGCCUGAGAAAUGGCUACCACAUCCAAGGAAGGCAGCAGG
This 395-nucleotide ribosomal RNA is filed under the name uncultured Chrysophyceae. RNAcentral's name for it is "partial small subunit ribosomal RNA". It matches the Rfam family "Eukaryotic small subunit ribosomal RNA", at positions 30 to 432 of the family's 1831-position model. The record is from RNAcentral. Lineage: Eukaryota; Chrysophyceae.